This 313-nucleotide ribosomal RNA is filed under the name uncultured eukaryote. RNAcentral describes it as "partial 18S ribosomal RNA". It matches the Rfam family "Eukaryotic small subunit ribosomal RNA", at positions 1470 to 1796 of the family's 1831-position model. The record is from RNAcentral.
CCCUUAGAUGUCCUGGGCUGCACGCGCGCUACACUGAUGCGCUCAACGAGUUUACGAUCUUGCCUGAAAUGGCUGGGUAAUCUUUUUAAAACGCAUCGUGAUGGGGAUAGAUCAUUGCAAUUAUAGAUCUUGAACGAGGAAUGCCUAGUAAGUGCAGUUCAUCAGGCUGUACUGAUUACGUCCUUGCCCUUUGUACACACCGCCCGUCGCUCCUACCGAUUUCGAGUGGUCCGGUGAACCUUCUGGACUGAGUUCGCAAGAAUUCGGGAAGUUAAGUAAACCUUAUCACUUAGAGGAAGGAGAAGUCGUAACA